Felis catus (domestic cat) is the source of this 733-nucleotide long non-coding RNA. RefSeq lists it as uncharacterized. The record is from RefSeq and is a predicted model, not a curated record. The transcript has 3 exons. Lineage: Eukaryota; Metazoa; Chordata; Mammalia; Carnivora; Felidae.
CCCGCCUCUUCCGGCUCCUGGUGGCUCCUGGGUUUGUGGCCGGGUCGUCCCUCCCCUCCUUGCUGCCCUCUUCCCCCGGCCUCUCCCUGGGUGAGGGUCCCUCCUCCGUCUCUCGUCAGGACACCGGUCUCUGAGUUAGGGCCUGUCCUGAUCCAGGCGGCUCUUCUCUGGACACCUUUUAUUACAUCCGAAAAAUCCCGUUCCCCAGUCAAAUCGCAUUCUGAGCCUGUGGGGAGACACGAAUUGGGGGCGCACGUUCAAUCCCCUCCAGGACCCUUCUACCUCUGAGCUUUGCAGCCACGCGUCCCCUCAUGUGAACAACGGAAACGUUCCCCCUGUCCCUGGUCGGUCCGGGCCCCGGGCCCGUCACCCCUGCUGCGUGACCGUAGCCAGCUCACUGAUCUCCUGGCCUCCAGCCUCCUGCCCUCAAGUCAGCCUCCUCGCAGUGGCCACCGACUUUGGGAAAUCACGGGGAGGGCCCGCUGUCCAGUGUCUGCAGUAUUUCAUAAUUGGUGAAAUGAGGAACCCCGUUUUGCCGAGAUGUUCGGGAAUAACUCAGUUUUAAAGACCACGUCCUAACAACUGGAAUGGGCCGACUAUUCCAGGGGAAUCCGCUGAGAAUCGUUGCCACGCGAGGUGAGUUCCGAGCUUGCCCUAGGUGCCGGCUGUUGCUUACUUCAGGGGAAGUCCCUGCCCUGUGUCCUCAGAGGCCACGACAGUCACGUAAUGACAG